Non-coding RNA from Odocoileus virginianus texanus, 1014 nucleotides. The record is from RefSeq and is a predicted model, not a curated record. Lineage: Eukaryota; Metazoa; Chordata; Mammalia; Artiodactyla; Cervidae.
GUUACGGUCCAUGGGGUUGCCAAAGAGUCAGACACAACUUAGUGAUUAAACGAUAGCAACAAGUCCCACUUUGCAUUGUAUUGGAAUCACUGUUGUGUCUACUGGUAAAAGUAUUUCUUCAUGUAUUCUCUACAUUAUCCUUAGACAAUGUUUUUGAUAUUAGGUUUGACUUUCAGAAUAUGCUGACAUUUGAUUAUAAUUUAUGGUCUGGAUAUUAGAGGAGGGGAGCAUGAGAAAAAAUAACACUCUUGCAAGAUAACUACAUCAGACAAGAUCUUCAAACAGGGAGGAACUUUCUCCUGGAAAAAAAAUUUGGGCUGUCUACUUUGAGAGCUCUCACAGACAGGACUUCACGAGCCCCUUCGGAGCUUCCUUCAUGGACCACUUCCACCUCACUCCCAUUGCUGUGGACAAAGCUGCAUCCUGUUUCAGUUUUUGUUCUCAUUUUGGCCCACUGUGUUUUCUGGUGAAUAUCUGCUUUGGUGUUCUCUUGUUUUCAUAUUACUUCAUAUGUCCAGUUACUUCGCUUGGCUUCCUUCUUCACAGAUGCACAGAUUCACUGUACAGAUCUCUAAAACUCUUGGAAUAUCCUGUGAUGAGGGUGAUCAAGACAUCUCUUGCUGUGUUAAUGAGGUAUGGACUACACCUAAGGAUGGAGGCUGGUUUCCAGAGCCAACCAUGUGAUUAGAGGGUUGGAACUUUCAGUCCCACAACCCUGACCUCCAGGGAGGGGAGGAGGGCUAGAGGUUGGAUCAAUCACCAGUGGCCAAUGAUUUAAUCAACCAUAGGCAUGUAAUGAGACUUCCAUAAAAACCCAAAAGGAUGGGGUUCAGAGAGCUUCUGAUUGUGUAAAAAUGUAGAAAUUCAGGGACAGUGGUGGGCAAGAAUAUGUGGAAGUUCAGCAAGGGCAUGUAAACUGUGCCCUUUCCCUAUGCCUUGCCAUGUUCAUCUCUUCUGCCUGGCUGUUCCUGAGUUAUAUCGUUUUAUAAUAAACCAGUAAUCCAGUAAGUAAAA